This 875-nucleotide ribosomal RNA is filed under the name uncultured archaeon. RNAcentral's name for it is "bacterial SSU rRNA". It matches the Rfam family "Archaeal small subunit ribosomal RNA", at positions 21 to 902 of the family's 1478-position model. The record is from RNAcentral.
ACCUGACUGCUAUCGGAUUGGUACUAAGCCAUGUGAGUCAUUGUAGCAAUACAAGGCAUACGGCUCAGUAACACGUAGUCAAUCUGCCCUAUGGACGUGGAUAACCUCGGGAAACUGAGAAUAAUCCGCGAUAGAUCAUAAUGCCUGGAACGGUUUAUGGUCCAAAUGAUUCGUCGCCAUAGGAUGGGACUGCGGCCUAUCAGCUUGUUGGUGAGGUAAUGGCCCACCAAGGCUAUUACAGGUACGGGCUCUGAGAGGAGAAGCCCGGAGAUGGGUACUGAGACACGGACCCAGGCCCUAUGGGGCGCAGCAGGCGAGAAACCUUUGCAAUGUGCGCAAGCACGACAAGGUUAAUCCGAGUGUUUCCUGCUAAAGGAAUCUUUUGUUAGUUCUAAAACCACUAACGAAUAAGGGGUGGGCAAGUUCUGGUGUCAGCCGCCGCGGUAAAACCAGCACCUCAAGUGGUCAGGAUGAUUAUUGGGCCUAAAGCAUCCGUAGCUCGUUUUGUAAGUUUUCGGUUAAAUCCAUGCGCUUAACGUAUGGGCUGCCGGGAAUACUGCAUAACUAGGAAGUGGGAGAGGUAGACGGUACUCGGGAGGAAGGGGUAAAAUCCUUUGAUCUCUUGAUGACCACCUGUGGCGAAGGCGGUCCACCAGAACACGUUCGACGGUGAGGGAUGAAAGCUGGGGGAGCAAACCGGAUUAGAUACCCGGGUAGUCCCAGCUGUAAACUAUGCAAACUCAGUGAUGCAUUGGCUUAUGGCCAAUGCAGUGCUGCAGGGAAGCCGUUAAGUUUGCCGCCUGGGAAGUACGUACGCAAGUAUGAAACUUAAAGGAAUUGGCGGGGGAGCACCACAAGGGGUGAAGCCUGCGGUU